GGCGGAUAUUAUAGUAUCUCACGCUCACACGCGACGAAAGGAUACCAUGCACGCUCUUAAAGAACAUGGCGUUCGCGAGCUGUUGUUUGUAAUUUCGUACAGGCGUGUACAGAUUUCUUAAUUUACUGUAACCAAAAAUUUUUAAGACGUACGUUACCUUCAAUAAUCCAAAGAAUACAUGCUCAAAUAUUUUAAAGAGAAAACGUCAAAACACAG
Paramuricea clavata is the source of this 216-nucleotide non-coding RNA. NCBI's taxonomy places the organism in Eukaryota, Metazoa, Cnidaria, Anthozoa, Malacalcyonacea, Plexauridae. The record is from the annotation of a GenBank genome assembly.